Molecule: ribosomal RNA, 468 nt
Filed under: uncultured bacterium
Lineage: Bacteria
Description: partial 16S ribosomal RNA
Rfam family: Bacterial small subunit ribosomal RNA
Source: RNAcentral
GACGAACGCUGGCGGCGUGCUUAACACAUGCAAGUCGAACGGAAAGGCCCUGCUUUUGUGGGGUGCUCGAGUGGCGAACGGGUGAGUAACACGUGAGUAACCUGCCCUUGACUUUGGGAUAACUUCAGGAAACUGGGGCUAAUACCGGAUAGGAGCUCCUGCUGCAUGGUGGGGGUUGGAAAGUUUCGGCGGUUGGGGAUGGACUCGCGGCUUAUCAGCUUGUUGGUGGGGUAGUGGCUUACCAAGGCUUUGACGGGUAGCCGGCCUGAGAGGGUGGCCGGCCACGUUGGGACGGAGAUGCGGCCCAGACUCCUACGGGAGGCAGCAGUGGGGAAUAUUGCACAAUGGGCGGAAGCCUGAUGCAGCAACGCCGCGUGCGGGAUGACGUCCUUCGGGUUGUAAACCGCUUUCGCCUGUGACGAAGCGUGAGUGACGGUAAUGGGUAAAGAAGCACCGGCUAACUACGUG